Molecule: ribosomal RNA, 2890 nt
Filed under: Escherichia coli
Lineage: Bacteria; Pseudomonadati; Pseudomonadota; Gammaproteobacteria; Enterobacterales; Enterobacteriaceae
Description: bacterial LSU rRNA
Rfam family: Bacterial large subunit ribosomal RNA (bases 1-2318)
Source: RNAcentral
UUAAGCGACUAAGCGUACACGGUGGAUGCCCUGGCAGUCAGAGGCGAUGAAGGACGUGCUAAUCUGCGAUAAGCGUCGGUAAGGUGAUAUGAACCGUUAUAACCGGCGAUUUCCGAAUGGGGAAACCCAGUGUGAUUCGUCACACUAUCAUUAACUGAAUCCAUAGGUUAAUGAGGCGAACCGGGGGAACUGAAACAUCUAAGUACCCCGAGGAAAAGAAAUCAACCGAGAUUCCCCCAGUAGCGGCGAGCGAACGGGGAGCAGCCCAGAGCCUGAAUCAGUGUGUGUGUUAGUGGAAGCGUCUGGAAAGGCGCGCGAUACAGGGUGACAGCCCCGUACACAAAAAUGCACAUGCUGUGAGCUCGAUGAGUAGGGCGGGACACGUGGUAUCCUGUCUGAAUAUGGGGGGACCAUCCUCCAAGGCUAAAUACUCCUGACUGACCGAUAGUGAACCAGUACCGUGAGGGAAAGGCGAAAAGAACCCCGGCGAGGGGAGUGAAAAAGAACCUGAAACCGUGUACGUACAAGCAGUGGGAGCACGCUUAGGCGUGUGACUGCGUACCUUUUGUAUAAUGGGUCAGCGACUUAUAUUCUGUAGCAAGGUUAACCGAAUAGGGGAGCCGAAGGGAAACCGAGUCUUAACUGGGCGUUAAGUUGCAGGGUAUAGACCCGAAACCCGGUGAUCUAGCCAUGGGCAGGUUGAAGGUUGGGUAACACUAACUGGAGGACCGAACCGACUAAUGUUGAAAAAUUAGCGGAUGACUUGUGGCUGGGGGUGAAAGGCCAAUCAAACCGGGAGAUAGCUGGUUCUCCCCGAAAGCUAUUUAGGUAGCGCCUCGUGAAUUCAUCUCCGGGGGUAGAGCACUGUUUCGGCAAGGGGGUCAUCCCGACUUACCAACCCGAUGCAAACUGCGAAUACCGGAGAAUGUUAUCACGGGAGACACACGGCGGGUGCUAACGUCCGUCGUGAAGAGGGAAACAACCCAGACCGCCAGCUAAGGUCCCAAAGUCAUGGUUAAGUGGGAAACGAUGUGGGAAGGCCCAGACAGCCAGGAUGUUGGCUUAGAAGCAGCCAUCAUUUAAAGAAAGCGUAAUAGCUCACUGGUCGAGUCGGCCUGCGCGGAAGAUGUAACGGGGCUAAACCAUGCACCGAAGCUGCGGCAGCGACGCUUAUGCGUUGUUGGGUAGGGGAGCGUUCUGUAAGCCUGUGAAGGUGUGCUGUGAGGCAUGCUGGAGGUAUCAGAAGUGCGAAUGCUGACAUAAGUAACGAUAAAGCGGGUGAAAAGCCCGCUCGCCGGAAGACCAAGGGUUCCUGUCCAACGUUAAUCGGGGCAGGGUGAGUCGACCCCUAAGGCGAGGCCGAAAGGCGUAGUCGAUGGGAAACAGGUUAAUAUUCCUGUACUUGGUGUUACUGCGAAGGGGGGACGGAGAAGGCUAUGUUGGCCGGGCGACGGUUGUCCCGGUUUAAGCGUGUAGGCUGGUUUUUCCAGGCAAAUCCGGAAAAUCAAGGCUGAGGCGUGAUGACGAGGCACUACGGUGCUGAAGCAACAAAUGCCCUGCUUCCAGGAAAAGCCUCUAAGCAUCAGGUAACAUCAAAUCGUACCCCAAACCGACACAGGUGGUCAGGUAGAGAAUACCAAGGCGCUUGAGAGAACUCGGGUGAAGGAACUAGGCAAAAAUGGUGCCGUAACUUCGGGAGAAGGCACGCUGAUAUGUAGGUGAAGUCCCUUGCGGAUGGAGCUGAAAUCAGUCGAAGAUACCAGCUGGCUGCAACUGUUUAUUAAAAACACAGCACUGUGCAAACACGAAAGUGGACGUAUACGGGUGUGACGCCUGCCCGGUGCCGGAAGGUUAAUUGAUGGGGUCAGCGCAAGCGAAGCUCUUGAUCGAAGCCCGGUAAACGGCGGCCGUAACUAUAACGGUCCUAAGGUAGCGAAAUUCCUUGUCGGGUAAGUUCCGACCUGCACGAAUGGCGUAAUGAUGGCCAGGCUGUCUCCACCCGAGACUCAGUGAAAUUGAACUCGCUGUGAAGAUGCAGUGUACCCGCGGCAAGACGGAAAGACCCCGUGAACCUUUACUAUAGCUUGACACUGAACAUUGAGCCUUGAUGUGUAGGAUAGGUGGGAGGCUUGGAAGUGUGGACGCCAGUCUGCAUGGAGCCGACCUUGAAAUACCACCCCUUUAAUGUUUGAUGUUCUAACGUUGACCCGUAAUCCGGGUUGCGGACAGUGUCUGGUGGGUAGUUUGACUGUUAAGUCAGAUGUGAAAUCCCCGGGCUCAACCUGGGAACUGCAUCUGAUACUGGCAAGCUUGAGUCUCGUAGAGGGGGGUAGAAUUCCAGGUGUAGCGGUGAAAUGCGUAGAGAUCUGGAGGAAUACCGGUGGCGAAGGCGGCCCCCUGGACGAAGACUGACGCUCAGGUGCGAAAGCGUGGGGAGCAAACAGGAUUAGAUACCCUGGUAGUCCACGCCGUAAACGAUGUCGACUUGGAGGUUGUGCCCUUGAGGCGUGGCUUCCGGAGCUAACGCGUUAAGUCGACCGCCUGGGGAGUACGGCCGCAAGGUUAAAACUCAAAUGAAUUGACGGGGGCCCGCACAAGCGGUGGAGCAUGUGGUUUAAUUCGAUGCAACGCGAAGAACCUUACCUGGUCUUGACAUCCACGGAAGUUUUCAGAGAUGAGAAUGUGCCUUCGGGAACCGUGAGACAGGUGCUGCAUGGCUGUCGUCAGCUCGUGUUGUGAAAUGUUGGGUUAAGUCCCGCAACGAGCGCAACCCUUAUCCUUUGUUGCCAGCGGUCCGGCCGGGAACUCAAAGGAGACUGCCAGUGAUAAACUGGAGGAAGGUGGGGAUGACGUCAAGUCAUCAUGGCCCUUACGACCAGGGCUACACACG